This 426-nucleotide ribosomal RNA is filed under the name Staphylococcus aureus. RNAcentral describes it as "partial 23S ribosomal RNA". It matches the Rfam family "Bacterial large subunit ribosomal RNA", at positions 2341 to 2766 of the family's 2925-position model. Lineage: Bacteria; Bacillati; Bacillota; Bacilli; Caryophanales; Staphylococcaceae. The record is from RNAcentral.
UUCAUAGAGUGUAAAGGCAUAAGGGAGCUUGACUGCGAGACCUACAAGUCGAGCAGGGUCGAAAGACGGACUUAGUGAUCCGGUGGUUCCGCAUGGAAGGGCCAUCGCUCAACGGAUAAAAGCUACCCCGGGGAUAACAGGCUUAUCUCCCCCAAGAGUUCACAUCGACGGGGAGGUUUGGCACCUCGAUGUCGGCUCAUCGCAUCCUGGGGCUGUAGUCGGUCCCAAGGGUUGGGCUGUUCGCCCAUUAAAGCGGUACGCGAGCUGGGUUCAGAACGUCGUGAGACAGUUCGGUCCCUAUCCGUCGUGGGCGUAGGAAAUUUGAGAGGAGCUGUCCUUAGUACGAGAGGACCGGGAUGGACAUACCUCUGGUGUACCAGUUGUCGUGCCAACGGCAUAGCUGGGUAGCUAUGUGUGGACGGGAUA